UCCGGAGCUCGCGGUCGAAAAGAAAUGAGAGUUUCUCAACAAGCCUCGCAGUUAUGAGCUUCGGAGAGCUUCUUUGGCUUCGAGGCUCGAAUAUCGAAGAUAUCGCGAAAAUAUCGAAGAAGGAAUUAUUCGUCGCGUGCACGCUGCGCGAGUACUUUUUUUUCCCCCCAAUUUUUCACAGGAUCGCUCAAAUAAAUAAUAAACAAUAAUAAUAAUAAUAAUAAUUGGAGAAAAUCUUGAGAACAAACGAUGGGUUCGGCGAAGAGUGGAAAAAAUGUUGGGGCAAGAAUUUUCGGGGUAUUCGCGAGAACGUCGAUUUAGUCUGCGGUCGAAUGUCAAGCCGGUCGCUCUUUAGAGACAUGGAAGCAUUGAAAGGUCUGCGAGAGAGGGAUCCGUGGAAUAAUACUACACCCGCCGGGGGUUGCAUCGUGCAGCAGCAGCAGCAGCAGCAGCAGCAGCAGCAGCAAACACACGCGGGUGUGCGACCAAUCACGGGGUUCGAGAGACAUGGCUCGGAGAGUUGCGUGCCAGCACGUCGCGCCCGGCCAGCCGGCCGGCCGAGGGACGAAGGAGGAGUUGAGCAAAAGAGAGAAAGAGAGAGGUAAAAAAAUAAAUUGAGGAAAAAAUAAGACAGCGGUGGAGAGGGAGGAGGCUUCGAGGGCCGAAAGAACGAGGUGAAGGAAGAAGAAAAAAGAGGGACAAAACGAGACGAAACUGAAGCCAUCGGCGGGAGAGAGUGCACAAAGAGACGCGGUUGGCCCGUGUAUUUUUGCACUCUCGCUCUCUGGCUUUGACCGCAGACUGUGAGUUUGCUCUCAUGCGAGUCACCGACGGAGAAGGCGAGACUCUACGAGACCGUUGAGCGAAGAAGGAAAAGGCUUGCUCGCGAAUAUUCAAUCACUGUUACAAACACCCGCGCGUGACGGUAGAUUUAUCAAGCAGGAACGUACGAAAAAAUCAAAGAUGGCCAACGAGAAAAGGUCUUUUUUUUUCCCCUCUGGUUGAUCGCCAUACGGAGAGAGGAUCGUUGAAAAAAAUAUUUCGGGAAUGAAAAGAUGAUUUUGAAACUUGGGGGAUUUGAAGGGCGAACGUGAGAUCGUGCAAGGUCAAAAAGCCGGCAAAUACAAAUGAAAAUUGUAAUAAUAAACUAUGGUAGGAACUCGGUUGAAAUUGCAUAAUCGAAUGAAUGGAUAAUGCGAAAGGCGAGAGCCACCAAAAAGUCAACGACUUUGAGGUGAUAACGUCCGAGGAGCCCGAUGCGAAUAAGAGUGAAGGAGAGAAAAAGGUCGUCGACUCGAUUUAUAAGUUGCAGCGAGGAGAGAAAUUUGCGAGCGAUAAGGAAAGAGAGGCCAGCAGCGAGGGUAAGGGGGGGGGGGGGGGGGGGGGAGGGCAAGAGAAUUUGAGAACCACUGAUCGAGCGUCGCCCGCAGUAGCCUGAUUGCCGAACAAUGCGCGUCCUAACGAGACGCGGGGUCGAAGACUGUCCUUUUAUUGAUUUCACGGGGCGCGGCGGGGGUUACGAAGAGGCUUCGACGUCGCGACGCCUCCCACUCGACCCACCGGAUCUCCUCCUCCUCCUCCUCCUCCCCCACCUCCCGCCCAGAGGACCGCGUAUCAUUCAUAUCCGGAAAAAAGCCAAUUUUCACAUGUUCCCCAUCCCCCCUUUGUGUAUGCUCACACGUAUUCAACUCGCGCGUAUAUCCGUGAGAAAAAUAAUUACGAAGGAGGAAGAGGCGGCAGGCGGCGGAGCGGUGAAAAAGAAGAAACUGUGAGCGCACGAGUACAAUUUCGAGUGGAUUGAAAAAAAGAAAAAAACAGUCAACUGAAACUGGCCUACCUUGUGCGCCUUUAACGAAGCCUCGUUGCAGGCCAGGGUGACGUCGACGAAGGCCUCCGUUUGUAGCAGUUGAUGAAAAACCGACGUCAUAUUUGACUGGUAGUUGUUCCAGCGCAGGCAGUAAUGCUGCCCGGCCAUUCCUCCGCUGGAAAAAUAAAAAUCCGGGAUACACAAAGGUGCGCGAAUGCGGGCUCAAAUGGAAAAAAUUAAUGUUGGAGAUCGCAAAGCUUCUGAGUUUGCUUCCUGAUCUUCGAAUGAAUAUGAAGAUGAAAGACAGUCGCUUCGCCUGAAGAAAAUAAAUUAGGAAAUGUUUUUCUCACACAAUAAGGAAUAAGAUUCGAGAGCUCUGUUUCGUGAGCAGCAAUGAAUUUCCGACGUCUCGGAUAAUAAAAAACGAUGAGACUCCAAGAUGCUUAUUAUUUCGACGUGUACGAUAAAUACGCGUGUGGCGAAGUGGUCCGCUCGAGGAAUUCAACGAGUUUCGUCGGUCAUUUAUACUUUUUUCAAUGUCCCUAAAAUCAUUCUUGCUGAUUCCCGAAUUUUGGAAAAAUAAAUAUUCCGGCCAAAGUGACUCCGCGCAUCGUCUCCUACGCUCACUGUCAUUUACCAUUCCCGUAUGAAACAUCGAACGUUCCGACGAAACGAAAAGAAACGAGGCCCUUGGACGAGAUGGAAAAAAAAAAAAAAUCAUAGCGAGGCCCGUGAGCAAUAAAAAAAGAAAGACCACCAAAACAUAAAAAUUUUCGUCCGCAAAGGAUAUUGCUUGCAUCAUGUUCCGAUCAUGUAUGUUCGAUUGCGAUUUUUGUCAAUGAAAAUAAAAUAGACGUAUCA
Molecule: long non-coding RNA, 2668 nt
Organism: Venturia canescens
Lineage: Eukaryota; Metazoa; Arthropoda; Insecta; Hymenoptera; Ichneumonidae
Exons: 3
Source: RefSeq, a predicted model, not a curated record